This 619-nucleotide ribosomal RNA is filed under the name uncultured bacterium. RNAcentral describes it as "bacterial SSU rRNA". It matches the Rfam family "Bacterial small subunit ribosomal RNA", at positions 875 to 1503 of the family's 1533-position model. The record is from RNAcentral.
GGGGAGUACGCCGGCAACGGUGAAACUCAAAGGAAUUGACGGGGGCCCGCACAAGCGGAGGAACAUGUGGUUUAAUUCGAUGAUACGCGAGGAACCUUACCCGGGCUCAAACGUUGCAGGAAGGGUGUCUGAAAGGAUGCCCGUCUACGGACCUGCGACGAGGUGCUGCAUGGUUGUCGUCAGCUCGUGCCGUGAGGUGUCGGCUUAAGUGCCAUAACGAGCGCAACCCCUACCGCCAGUUGCCAACAGGCAAAGCUGGGGACUCUGGCGGGACUGCCGGCGCAAGCUGCGAGGAAGGCGGGGAUGACGUCAAAUCAGCACGGCCCUUACGUCCGGGGCGACACACGUGUUACAAUGGCAGGUACAGCGGGAAGCCACCUGGCGACAGGGAGCGGAACCCGAAAGCCUGUCUCAGUUCGGAUUGGAGUCUGCAACCCGACUCCAUGAAGCUGGAUUCGCUAGUAAUCGCGCAUCAGCCACGGCGCGGUGAAUACGUUCCCGGGCCUUGUACACACCGCCCGUCAAGCCAUGGGAGUCGGGAGUGCCUGAAGUGCGUGAGCGCGAGCAGCGCCCUAGGGCAAAACCGAUGACUGGGGCUAAGUCGUAACAAGGUAACCGU